CGGCGGACGGGUGAGUAACGCGUGGGUAACCUGCCUCAUACAGGGGGAUAACAGUUAGAAAUGACUGCUAUACCGCAUAAGACCACGGUACCGCAUGGUACAGUGGUAAAAACUCCGGUGGUAUGAGAUGGACCCGCGUCUGAUUAGGUAGUUGGUGGGGUAACGGCCUACCAAGCCGACGAUCAGUAGCCGACCUGAGAGGGUGACCGGCCACAUUGGGACUGAGACACGGCCCAG
RNAcentral lists this ribosomal RNA (237 nucleotides) under uncultured bacterium. RNAcentral's name for it is "partial 16S ribosomal RNA". It matches the Rfam family "Bacterial small subunit ribosomal RNA", at positions 96 to 334 of the family's 1533-position model. The record is from RNAcentral.